Molecule: ribosomal RNA, 235 nt
Filed under: uncultured bacterium
Lineage: Bacteria
Description: partial 16S ribosomal RNA
Rfam family: Bacterial small subunit ribosomal RNA
Source: RNAcentral
AGUAACCUGCCUUGGAGUGGGGAAUAACAGCUGGAAACAGCUGCUAAUACCGCAUAAUAUAUCUGGGUCGCAUGGCUCUGGAUAUCAAAGAUUUAUCGCUCUGAGAUGGACUCGCGUCUGAUUAGCUAGUUGGUGGGGCAACGGCCCACCAAGGCGACGAUCAGUAGCCGGACUGAGAGGUUGGCCGGCCGCAUUGGGACUGAGACACGGCCCAGACUCCUACGGGAGGCAGCAG